This 1503-nucleotide ribosomal RNA is filed under the name uncultured bacterium. RNAcentral's name for it is "16S ribosomal RNA". It matches the Rfam family "Bacterial small subunit ribosomal RNA". The record is from RNAcentral.
AGAGUUUGAUCAUGGCUUAGAACGAACGCUGGCGGCGCGUUUUAAGCAUGCAAGUCGAACGGUAGUAUGGUGCUUGCUCCAUAUGAGAGUGGCAAACGGGUGAAUAACACGUAAGUGAUCUACCUAGAAGUUGGGGAUAGCCUGGGGAAACACAGGGAAAUACCGGAUGUGGCCCUGUGCUUUCGGGCGCAUGGAGAAAGAGGCUAAAGACUUGCUUUUAGAUGAGCCUGCGGCUCAUUAACUGGUUGGUGGGGUAAAGGCCUACCAAGGCGACGAUGAGGAGCCGGCCUGAUAGGGCGACCGGCCACACUGGGACUGAUACACGGCACCAGACUCCUACCGGAGGCAGCAGCUAAGAAUCUUCCGCAAUGGCCAAAAGGCUGACGGAACGACUCCGCGUGGACGAUGAACGCCAGAAGGUUGCAAAGUCCUUUUCACAAAGAACAAUAAAGCAGGGAGGGAAUGCCCUGCCGAUGACAUUAUCUGAGGAAUAAGCCCCGGCUAAUUACAUGCCACCACCCGCGGUAACACCUAAGGGGCAAGCGUUGUUCGGAAUUAUUGGGCGUAAAGGGCGCGUAUGCUGCUUGACAAUCCUGGUGUGAAAGGUCACAGCUUAACUGUGGGAGUGCGCUGGAAACUGCUUGGCUAGAGCUCAAGAGGGCAAGCUGGACUUCCUGACUGUAGGGUGAAAUCUGUAGAUAUCAUGAAGAACACCAAUGGCAAAUGCGAGCAUCUGGCUAUGAACUGACGCUGAGGCGCGAAAUUGUGGGGAGCGAUCAUGAUUAGAUACCCUGGUAGUCCACGCUGUAAGAGAUGUGCACUAGGUGUUGGCUGUAGUAACGGUCAGUAAGGAAGCAAACGCGAUAAGUGCACCGCAUGGGGAGUAUGCUAGCAAGGGUGAAACUCAAAGGAAUUGACGGGGGCCAGCACAAGCGGUUGAGCAUGUGGUUUAAUUCGAUGAUACGCGAGGACCCUUUCCAGGGCUUGACAUAUGCAUGAUGAUCAUAGAGAUAUGGUUUCCAUUAGGGGAGUGUAUACAGGUGUUUCAUGACUGUGGUCAGCUAGAGCUGUGAAGUGUUGGGUUAAGUCCCGCAACGAGCGCAACCCGUGCUGUCUGUUACCAGCAAGUAAUGUUGGGGAAUCAGACGGUACUUCAGGUGACAAACCGGAGGAAGGUGGGGAAGUCGUCAAGUCAUCAUGGCCCUUAUGUCCUGGGGUACACACGUGCUACAAUGGUAGGUACAGAGCGGUGCGAUACCGAGAGGUGGAGCAAAUCGCAGAAAACCGGUGUCAGUCCGGAUCGGAGUCUGCAACUCGAAUCCGUGAAGUUGGAAUCGCUAGUAAUAGCGGAUCAGCAUGCCACGGUGAAUACGUUCCCGGCCCUUGUACACUCCGCCCGUCACACCACGAAAGUCGGUUGUACCAGAAGUUGCCGGGCUAACCCAAAAGGGGGGCAGGCACCCAAGGUAUGGCUGGUAAUUGGGGUGAAGUCGUAACAAGGUA